Long non-coding RNA from Pimephales promelas (fathead minnow), 3014 nucleotides. RefSeq lists it as uncharacterized. NCBI's taxonomy places the organism in Eukaryota, Metazoa, Chordata, Actinopteri, Cypriniformes, Leuciscidae. The record is from RefSeq and is a predicted model, not a curated record.
ACUAGCCUACAUACAGUGAAGUGUUUAACAACGAUAAGAUUCGUGAACAAAUCUGAGUCGGAGUUAUCAAUGAACUGGUUGAACCGUUCAUUAUCGGUCUGAAGGAUUCGUUAUUUCGUUUGCGAUUGGACUGAAUCCGGAGUGUGAGAAUCGGUCAGAGAAAGUAAAUCUUUUCGAAUCUGUCCUUCUAACGUUAGGUCUAUUCCGGGUUAAAUGGAUAAUUCAACCCAAAAAUAAAAAUUCUGUCAUCAUUUACUCCUCAAGUUGUUCCAAAGCUGUAUGAGUUUCUUUUUUUUCUGCUGAACACAAAAAGAAUGUAACCAGACAGUUCAGUUGACACUCUGUAGCCAUUAAAGGUUGUAUCAGCAAUUUCAGGCCCAAACAAAAAUUAUCUCAUUCAUCUAAUCUUUCCUAACGACCCGCUAGCUGCCUGCCGCAGGCUGACAAAAAAAAAAAAAAAAAAAAAAAAAAAAAAAAAACAGGCUCUGAGAUCUGCACACAAAAACAAAUGGGUACAACCACCACUCAAAAUCAAAAUAAACAGUGUUCUAACCAAUCACCAACAGGGGCGGGUUUUGUUUGUUUUUGCGCUAGUGCAUGGCGCCUGCACACAAGAAUAAGCCAGCGCUAUCAACCUUAUGCUAUCAAUGUACUAGAUACAUUUAACAUGGAAGAGGCAAUCCCCAAGAAGAGAAUGAGGUUUAGGGCGAGGAGAGGGAAUAAUAUCGUUAUUCGUUAAAGAAACGAAUAAUAAUCGGGAAGGCUUUUGAACGGUGGAGAGAACUCAAAGAAUUGAAAAAAAAAAUUUAAUCAGACAACGCAAGGUUACAAUGUUUCUUCUGGACAGCACAAUCCUUGUCAUUCCUCGCAAAAAUGAGUCCCUCCCUGAGUAACAUCAACCUCCCAGAGCUUGAGCCCUCGACAGUUCAGAAUGUAUCACGUUACAACUUAAAAGCUUGGAUUUUGGAGAAUGUGUCUAAAAAAGUAAAAUCAAUACACUCAAUAAAGAGAAGCUGAUAUGAUGUCAUGGCUAAUGCAGUCCUGAUAGCCUAACACACAGCUCUAUAGGAGAAUGACUGUUGAAUGCUUUUAAAGAACCUCAAGAGCUCCACUUCACACAGGCGCUUCCCUUAUCUCAUCUGUCAUCACUCUUCUAUACUGGACAGUUCAGAGACACAGGCACAGGAUUUCCCCACUAAUAGUUCCAGCAUGUGCACUGUUCAUCUGAGACAUCUCUGCAUGGUGUAAUGCUGUAAAUGGGGUUAUUAGUCAGUGCCCUUUCAUAGGCCGAAUGACAUGGCAAAAAACAACAACACACAAAACAUGUAGACACAGUAGUGGCUUAAAGUGAUUUUUGGAGGGGGAACAUUCGUUUUUAAUGACCCCACAUCUUUCAUAGUUCGUAUACAUAUAAAGUUGUGUUCAAUAUAAUCGCAGUGUGUUUAAAAAAACUGUUUAUUCAAGAUCAAAACAUGAAGAAAGAUUUGUUUUUACUUAAUAGAAAGUAAAGAAAAGGGAAUAUUAGGCUGUUCAAAGUCAAACAGUUACUGUAUAAACUGACAAAUGCGUGAAGAUUUAGCUUUCUUGUGAAUCACUGAACUAAUAUUUAGUUGUCUAACCACGGUUUUUGAGAACUGCUUUACAUCUGUGUUGCAUGGAGUCGACCAACUUCUGGCACCUGUGAACAGGUAUUCCAGCCCAGGACGAUCGCACUUCAGACCACAGUUCCUCUGCAUUUCUUGGUUUUGCCUCAAAAACAGCAUUUUUUAUGUCACCCCACAGGUUUUCUAUUGGAUUAAGGUCCAGGGAUUGAGCUGGCCACUCUAUAACGUUAAUCUUGUUGGUCUGGAACCAAGAUGCUGCUAGCUUUAGCUUACUGGUGUGUUUUGGGUCGUUGUCUUGUUGAAACACUCAUUUCAAGGGCAUUUCCUCUUCAGCAUAAUGCAACAUGACCUCUUUAAGUAUUUUGAUGUACUGUGAUCCAUAAUCCGUAGUAUGCGAUAAAUAGGCCCAACACCAUGGUAUGAGAAACAUCCCCAUAUCAUGAUGCUUAUGCCACCAUGCUUCACAGUCUUCACAGUGUACUAUGACUUGAAUUCAGUGUUGGGGUCUAGACCCAAAAAGAACAAUCUUGCUUUCACCAGUCCACAAAAUAUUACGGCAUUUCUCUUUAGGCCAGUCAAUGUGUUCUUUGGCAAAUUGUAUCCUCUUUUUUAACAAUGGGACUUUGCGGGGGCUUCUUGCUGAUAGCUUAGCUUCACAUAGGCAUCUUCUAAUUGUUGCUGUAGUUAUGGGUAACUUUAGAUCUUCUUUGAUCACACUGGAGCAUGUCUUUGCCAUUUUGGCUAUUCUUCGAUCCAUUUGAACCGUUUUCUUCCACGUCUUUCUGGUUUUGGUUGCCAUUUUAAAGCAUUUGAUACCAUUUUAGCUGAGCAGCCUAUCAUUUUCUGCACUUCUUUAUAAGUUUCCCCCUCUCCAAUCAACUUUUUAAUCCAAGUACGCUGCUCUUCUAAACAAUGUUUGGAAAGGCCCAUUUUAUUCAGAUCUUCAGAGAGAAAUGCACUAUAACCACCAUUUUACAGCCCAGUACUGCCUUCAUCCUUAAAUAAGGGCCACUUAUUGACAGUUUUUUCACAGAAUGAUUAACUUCACUAAUCAAACUCCACUCUGCUAUUAUUUUGAACACACCCCUUUCAAUUAAUUAUUCAAUUAUACAGAAUUAGCAAUAUACAUGCCAUGACUGUUACUCUACUACACUACUACUAAUAAAUUACUUGCCAUGUAGAAAUAUAAUUUCUACCAAAAAAUGUAUAUAUAUUGCUACAGGUUUUAUUACUGUGAAAAAAGAAACGCAUACACAACAUCUCACAGGAAAAAUUAUAUUACAGUGACUACAACUUAUUAAUAUUAUGUUGGUUUUCUCUUGUUAUUGCACGUGUUAAUAAUUUAUUUGUAUGACAGCCUGCCAUGCUUCAUUGCGUUAUCACAAAUAAAACAAUUGACUCCAAGCACAA